RNAcentral lists this ribosomal RNA (1423 nucleotides) under uncultured organism. Its description in RNAcentral is "bacterial SSU rRNA". It matches the Rfam family "Bacterial small subunit ribosomal RNA". The record is from RNAcentral.
AACGAACGCUGGCGGCAGGCCUUAGCCAUGCAAGUCGAACGAGAAAGUCCUUCGGGAAUGAGUAAAGUGGCGAACGGGUGAGUAACACGUGGGAACCUACCUUGAAGUACGGAACAACCAUUGGAAACGAUGGCUAAUACCGUAUAAUCCCUCCGGGGGAAAGAUUUAUCGCUUUAAGAUGGGCCCGCGCCUGAUUAGCUUGUUGGUAAGGUAAUGGCUUACCAAGGCAACGAUCAGUAGCUGGUUUGAGAGGAUGAUCAGCCACACUGGGACUGAGACACGGCCCAGACUCCUACGGGAGGCAGCAGUUAGGAAUAUUGGACAAUGGGGGAAACCCUGAUCCAGCCAUGCCGCGUGAGUGAAGAAGGCCUUCGGGUUGUAAAGCUCUUUCGCUUGUGAAGAUGAUGACUGUAGCAAGUAAAGAAGCACCGGCUAACUUCGUGCCAGCAGCCGCGGUAAUACGAAGGGUGCAAGCGUUGUUCGGAAUUACUGGGCGUAAAGCGCAUGUAGGCGGUUUGUUAAGUUAGAGGUGAAAUCCCAGGGCUCAACCUUGGAAUUGCCUUUAAGACUGGCAAACUCGAGUCUAAGAGAGGAUAGCGGAAUACCUAGUGUAGAGGUGAAGUUCGUAGAUAUUAGGUAGAACACCAGUGGCGUAGGCGGCUAUCUGGCUUAUGACUGACGCUGAGAUGCGAAAGCGUGGGGAGCGAACAGGAUUAGAUACCCUGGUAGUCCACGCCGUAAACGAUGUGUGCUGGUUGUUGGUCCCGCUCUAGGGGCUUGUGACUGAGCUAACGCGUUAAGCACACCGCCUGGGGAGUACGGUCGCAAGAUUAAAACUCAAAGGAAUUGACGGGGACCCGCACAAGCGGUGGAGCAUGUUGUUUAAUUCGAUGCCACGCGCAAAACCUUACCAGCCCUUGACAUCCUGGUCGGGUGGAAUGGAGACAUUCUACUUCAUUUAGUUGGACCAGUGACAGAUGAUGCACGGCUGUCGUCAGCUCGUGUCGUGAGAUGUUGGGUUAAGUCCCGCAACGAGCGCAACCCUUAUCUUUAGUUGCCAUCAGGUUAUGCUGGGCACUCUAGAGAGACUGCCGGUGUUAAACCGGAGGAAGGUGGGGAUGACGUCUAGUCAUCAUGUCUCUUACGGGCUGGGCUACAAACGUGCUACAAUGGCGGUUACAGAGGGAAGCUACCUCGCGAGAGGAUGCCAAUCUUCAAAAACCGCCUCAGUUCAGAUUGCACUCUGCAACUCGAGUGCAUGAAGUUGGAAUCGCUAGUAAUCGCGGAUCAGCAUGCCGCGGUGAAUACGUUCCCGGGUCUUGUACACACCGCCCGUCACACCAUGGGAGUUGGCUUAACCCGAAGACGGUUCUCUAACCUCGUGAGGAGGCCGGCCACGGUUGGUCAGCGACUGGGGUGAAGU